RNAcentral lists this ribosomal RNA (468 nucleotides) under uncultured bacterium. Its description in RNAcentral is "partial 16S ribosomal RNA". It matches the Rfam family "Bacterial small subunit ribosomal RNA", at positions 28 to 507 of the family's 1533-position model. The record is from RNAcentral.
GACGAACGCUGGCGGCGUGCUUAACACAUGCAAGUCGAACGGAAAGGCGCUGCUUUCGUGGGGUGUUCGAGUGGCGCACGGGUGUGAAACACGUGAGUAUGCUGCCCUUGGGUUUGGGAUAACUUCAGGAAACUGGGGCUAAUACCGGAUAGGAGCUGCUGCUGCAUGGUGGGGGUUGGAAAGUUUCGGCGGUUGGGGAUGGACUCGCGGCUUAUCAGCUUGUUGGUGGGGUAGUGGCUUACCAAGGCUUUGACGGGUAGCCGGCCUGAGAGGGUGACCGGCCACAUUGGGACUGAGAUACGGCCCAGACUCCUACGGGAGGCAGCAGUGGGGAAUAUUGCACAAUGGGCGGAAGCCUGAUGCAGCAACGCCGCGUGCGGGAUGACGGCCUUCGGGUUGUAAACCGCUUUCGCCUGUGACGAAGCGUGAGUGACGGUAAUGGGUAAAGAAGCACCGGCUAACUACGUG